This 256-nucleotide ribosomal RNA is filed under the name uncultured bacterium. RNAcentral describes it as "partial 16S ribosomal RNA". It matches the Rfam family "Bacterial small subunit ribosomal RNA", at positions 524 to 776 of the family's 1533-position model. The record is from RNAcentral.
UACGUAGGGUGCAGGCGUUAAUCGGAAUUACUGGGCGUAAAGCGUGCGCAGGCGGCCUUUUAAGUCAGAUGUGAAAUCCCCGGGCUUAACCUGGGAACUGCGUUUGAAACUGGAAGGCUAGAGUGUGGCAGAGGGGGGUGGAAUUCCACGUGUAGCAGUGAAAUGCGUUAGAGAUGUGGAGGAACACCGAUGGCGAAGGCAGCCCCCCUGGGCUAACACUGACGCCUCAUGCACGAAAGCGUGGGGAGCAAACAGG